GAGUUUGAUCGUGGCUCAGGAUGAACGCUAGCGGCAGGCUUAAUACACGCAAGUCGUGGGCAGCAGCUCUGUAGCAAUACAGAGGCUGGCGACCGGCAAACGGGUGCGGAACACGUACGCAACCUACCCAUAACUGGGGAAUAGCCCGGGGAAACCCGGAUUAAUACCCCGUAACAUAUUGAUAAGGCAUCUUAUUAAUAUUAUAGCUCCGGCGGUUAUGGAUGGGCGUGCGCCUGAUUAGGUAGUUGGCGGGGUAACGGCCCACCAAGCCUACGAUCAGUAACUGGUGUGAGAGCACGACCAGUCACACGGGCACUGAGACACGGGCCCGACUCCUACGGGAGGCAGCAGUAAGGAAUAUUGGUCAAUGGACGCAAGUCUGAACCAGCCAUGCCGCGUGGAGGAUGAAGGUCCUCUGGAUUGUAAACUUCUUUUAUCUGGGAAGAAACCCAUGAAUUCUUUUGUGGUUGGCGGUACCAGAUGAAUAAGCACCGGCUAACUCCGUGCCAGCGCCGCGGUAAU
This 522-nucleotide ribosomal RNA is filed under the name uncultured bacterium. Its description in RNAcentral is "bacterial SSU rRNA". It matches the Rfam family "Bacterial small subunit ribosomal RNA", at positions 9 to 524 of the family's 1533-position model. The record is from RNAcentral.